Molecule: ribosomal RNA, 316 nt
Filed under: uncultured bacterium
Lineage: Bacteria
Description: bacterial SSU rRNA
Rfam family: Bacterial small subunit ribosomal RNA
Source: RNAcentral
GAUGAACGCUGGCGGCGUGCUUAACACAUGCAAGUCGAGCGAAGCACUCGGAAGUUUUCGGACAGAAGAGUGACUGAGCGGCGGACGGGUGAGUAACGCGUGGGUAACCUGCCUCAUACAGGGGGAUAACAGUUAGAAAUGACUGCUAAUACCGCAUAAGCGCACAGAACCGCAUGGUUCGGUGUGAAAAACUCCGGUGGUAUGAGAUGGACCCGCGUCUGAUUAGGUUGUUGGUGAGGUAACGGCCCACCAAGCCUUCGAUGGAUAGGGGUUCUGAGAGGAAGGUCCCCCACAUUGGAACUGAGACACGGUCCAA